Molecule: long non-coding RNA, 512 nt
Filed under: Phoenix dactylifera (date palm)
Lineage: Eukaryota; Viridiplantae; Streptophyta; Magnoliopsida; Arecales; Arecaceae
Description: long non-coding RNA (PDAC_LNC015688)
Source: RNAcentral
UGGAUUGAUAAUCCAUUAUGGAUGGUUAUUUUAAUGGCAAAACAUAGUCAAUAUCUGUUGGAACAGGAAAAGGAUAUAUGUUUAGGUGAUCUGUAGGCUGAUGUAUCAGGGGCUGCUGCUGAGACGAUGGGUGGCUAUCGAGCAUUGCUUGUUUUAUGUUGUCCAAGAAGCUCCACUUGUGCUGUUGAAUGUAAGCUAGAAAUAUAUUGCAUGUUCUUUUCUAGUAUGAUGUUUACCUUAAUUUUGCAGGUGCAGAUAAUUGAGAUGAUGACGCUUUGCUGAACUCAUGAGGUUUUCUUUUGGAGGUCCUUCUGCAAGUUAUGUUAUCGUGACACUUUCUAUUUCUUAUAAGAUAUCAGUUGAGAUGGUAUUGUAUUGCUACUGGGCACCUACCUAUAUGAUGUAUAAUUAUGUAACUGGCAAGUUCUACCUUUUUAUCUUGGCCUAUGUUUACUGAUAUAAUGUGUUAUAUUAGCUAAAAUCCUAAUUAGUCUGUUAUUAUUUAAACUAAG